Molecule: antisense RNA, 104 nt
Filed under: Pseudogulbenkiania sp. NH8B
Lineage: Bacteria; Pseudomonadati; Pseudomonadota; Betaproteobacteria; Neisseriales; Chromobacteriaceae
Description: Vibrio RNA AS9
Rfam family: Vibrio RNA AS9
About the family: Identified by direct cloning an parallel sequencing experiments with 5S/tRNA depletion. Confirmed by Northern blot.
Source: Rfam by way of RNAcentral
UUGCUUGCAGCGCUCUUCGGUCAACGUCAGGCAGAUCAGGCCGCGGCCGUGCUUGGCCAUGAAAUUGAUCGCUUCCGGCGUGACGUGCUCGGCUGCCAUUACCA